This is a long non-coding RNA of Oncorhynchus masou masou (cherry salmon), 1079 nucleotides long. RefSeq lists it as uncharacterized. The record is from RefSeq and is a predicted model, not a curated record. NCBI's taxonomy places the organism in Eukaryota, Metazoa, Chordata, Actinopteri, Salmoniformes, Salmonidae. The transcript is spliced from 3 exons.
AGAUGACAACAUAGCUGUGAGUGAUAGCUACCUCCUGCUGAAGUAGUCGCUGAUACACAUUGCACUGAUGAAGUACGGAACCGUGGACUAUGUGGAUUUAAAAUAUGUUUGGACUUAUGCGAAGGCGAAGCUGGGUCAGAUAAGUCCAGUCGUCUGGAAAGAUUGGUCCAGUCGGCCGGCCAAAUGGGUCCAGUCGGCCGGGCCAAAUGGGUCCAGUCGGCCGAUCAGACAGGUCCAGUCGGCUGUUUGGCCAGAUAGUACCAGGCGGCCUGCCAGCCAGAAAGGAACAGACGUUUUCUCCCUUCACAGCCAUUGAACUCUGUAGCUGUUUUGAAAUCUCCAAUGGCCUCACGUUGACAUCCCUGAGCAGUUUCCUUCCUGUCCUGGAGCUCAGUUUAGAAGGACGACUGCAACUUUGUUGUUUCUGGGUAGUUUAAUACAUCAUCCACAGCAUAAUUAUUGACUUGACCAUGCUUAAAGAGAUAUUCAAUGUCUGAUUUGUUAUUGUUACCGAUCUACCAAUCAUUGCCCUUCUUUAUGAGGCUUUCGAAAAGCUCCCUCGUUUUUGUAGCUGAAUCUGUGCUUGAAAAUGCUAUAGUUGCUUGAGGGACUUUACAUAUGUAUGGAGACAGAGGAAAGGGUAGUCAUUUAAAAAUCAUGUAAACCCCUAUUAUUAUUAUCCAUGUAACUUAUUAUGGGAUUUGUUAAGCCAAAUGUUACUCUUGAAGUACUUUAGGCUUGUCUUAACAAAAGGAUGAAUACUUCUGCAACAACUAUAUCUUACUUAUACAAUUUCUAUUAAUGUGUUAACAUUUGCAGAAUUGAUUUCACUUUGACAUUAUGGAGUAUUUUGUGUAGAUCAAGGACAAACGAAAUCACAACUAAAUCCAUUUCAAUCCCACUUCUUUUAAAUCUAAGGGGGGGGGGGUGAAUACUUAUGAAUCUCACAGUAUGAUGCAUCAUGCCUUUUAUAAUAGUCCGAGGGGAAUGCUCACAGGUCCUUGACUGGUUGUCCUUGUCCUGAUGUGUGCUGUAUUGGCCUGUAAUUGUUUUAAAAAAUAAAGCAUCAUGCCUAAUAA